GUGUUCGCUUCGGCAGCACAUAUACUAAAACUGGAAUGAUACAGAGAAGAUUAGCAUGGCCUGCACAAGGAUGACAUGCAAAUUCGUGAAGCGUUCCACAUUUAU
This is a small nuclear RNA of Dipodomys ordii (Ord's kangaroo rat), 105 nucleotides long. The record is from Ensembl. NCBI's taxonomy places the organism in Eukaryota, Metazoa, Chordata, Mammalia, Rodentia, Heteromyidae.